This is a non-coding RNA of Trichonephila inaurata madagascariensis, 73 nucleotides long. The record is from the annotation of a GenBank genome assembly. NCBI's taxonomy places the organism in Eukaryota, Metazoa, Arthropoda, Arachnida, Araneae, Nephilidae.
AUCCCUGUAGUGUAAUGGAUAGCACGUUGGACUUCUAAUCCAACGGCCGUAGCUUAGAAUCCCACCUGGAAUG